AUUGAACGCUGGCGGCAUGCUUUACACAUGCAAGUCGAACGGCAGCGGGGAGGAGCUUGCUUCUCUGCCGGCGAGUGGCGAACGGGUGAGUAAUACAUCGGAACGUGUCGAGAAGAGGGGGAUAACCACCCGAAAGGGUGGCUAAUACCGCAUAAAUUCUGAGGAAGAAAGCUGGGGACCUAGGAAUAGGCCUAGCGCUUUUUGAGCGGCCGAUGUCGGAUUAGCUAGUUGGUGAGGUAAAGGCUCACCAAGGCGAAGAUCUGUAGCGGGUCUGAGAGGAUGAUCCGCCACACUGGGACUGAGACACGGCCCAGACUACUACGGGAGGCAGCAGUGGGGAAUUUUGGACAAUGGGGGCAACCCUGAUCCAGCCAUGCCGCGUGUAUGAAGAAGGCCUUAGGGUUGUAAAGUACUUUUGUUAGGGAAGAAAAGUCAGCUGUGAAUAAUGGCUGAUACUGACGGUACCUAAAGAAUAAGCACCGGCUAACUACGUG
RNAcentral lists this ribosomal RNA (494 nucleotides) under uncultured bacterium. Its description in RNAcentral is "partial 16S ribosomal RNA". It matches the Rfam family "Bacterial small subunit ribosomal RNA", at positions 30 to 507 of the family's 1533-position model. The record is from RNAcentral.